RNAcentral lists this transfer RNA (84 nucleotides) under Candidatus Peregrinibacteria bacterium. RNAcentral's name for it is "tRNA-Leu". It matches the Rfam family "tRNA". Rfam says of the family: Transfer RNA (tRNA) molecules are approximately 80 nucleotides in length. Their secondary structure includes four short double-helical elements and three loops (D, anti-codon, and T loops). The record is from RNAcentral. Lineage: Bacteria; Candidatus Peregrinibacteriota.
GCAGGAGUGGUGGAAUUGGCAUACACGCUAGAUUUAGGUUCUAGUGCUCGAAAGGGCUUGAGAGUUCGAGUCUCUCCUCCUGUA